AAUCUUCCGCAAUGGACGAAAGUCUGACGGAGCGACGCCGCGUGCGGGAUGAAGGCCUUCGGGUUGUAAACCGCUGUCAGUUGGGAGGAAAUGCUAUGGGGUUCUCUCCAUAGUUUGACCGAUCUUCAGAGGAAGUACGGGCUAAGUUCGUGCCAGCAGCCGCGGUAACACGAACCGUACGAACGUUAUUCGGAAUCACUGGGCUUAAAGAGUCCGUAGGCGGCUUUAAAGGUCAGGUGUGAAAUCCCACGGCUCAACCGUGGAACUGCGCUUGAAACCAUAAAGCUAGAGGGAGAUAGAGGUGAGCGGAACUGAUGGUGGAGCGGUGAAAUGCGUUGAUAUCAUCAGGAACACCUGUGGCGAAAGCGGCUCACUGGGUCUCUUCUGACGCUGAGGGACGAAAGCUAGGGGAGCGAACGGGAUUAGAUACCCCGGUAGUCCUAGCUGUA
This 449-nucleotide ribosomal RNA is filed under the name uncultured marine bacterium. RNAcentral's name for it is "bacterial SSU rRNA". It matches the Rfam family "Bacterial small subunit ribosomal RNA", at positions 360 to 804 of the family's 1533-position model. The record is from RNAcentral.